Molecule: ribosomal RNA, 492 nt
Filed under: uncultured bacterium
Lineage: Bacteria
Description: partial 16S ribosomal RNA
Rfam family: Bacterial small subunit ribosomal RNA
Source: RNAcentral
AGUGAACGCUGGCGGUAGGCCUAACACAUGCAAGUCGAACGGCAGCACAGUAAGAGCUUGCUCUUACGGGUGGCGAGUGGCGGACGGGUGAGGAAUACAUCGGAAUCUACUUUUUCGUGGGGGAUAACGUAGGGAAACUUACGCUAAUACCGCAUACGACCUACGGGUGAAAGCAGGGGAUCUUCGGACCUUGCGCGAUUGAAUGAGCCGAUGUCGGAUUAGCUAGUUGGCGGGGUAAAGGCCCACCAAGGCGACGAUCCGUAGCUGGUCUGAGAGGAUGAUCAGACACACUGGAACUGAGACACGGUCCAGACUCCUACGGGAGGCAGCAGUGGGGAAUAUUGGACAAUGGGCGCAAGCCUGAUCCAGCCAUACCGCGUGGGCGAAGAAGGCCUUCGGGUUGUAAAGCCCUUUUGUUGGGAAAGAAAAGCAGCAGGUUAAUACCCCGCUGUUCUGACGGUACCCAAAGAAUAAGCACCGGCUAACUUCGUG